CUUCGGGGUACUCGAGUGGCGNACGGGUGAGUAACACGUGGGCAAUCUGCCCUGCACACCGGGAUAAGCCUGGGAAACUGGGUCUAAUACCGGAUAGGACCACUUGGCGCAUGCCUUGUGGUGGAAAGCUUUUGCGGUGUGGGAUGGGCCCGCGGCCUAUCAGCUUGUUGGUGGGGUGACGGCCUACCAAGGCGACGACGGGUAGCCGGCCUGAGAGGGUGUCCGGCCACACUGGGACUGAGAUACGGCCCAGACUCCUACGGGAGGCAGCAGUGGGGAAUAUUGCACAAUGGGCGCAAGCCUGAUGCAGCGACGCCGCGUGGGGGAUGACGGCCUUCGGGUUGUAAACCUCUUUCACCAUCGACGAAGGUCCGGGUUUUCUCGGAUUGACGGUAGGUGGAGAAGAAGCACCGGCCAACUACGUGCCAGCAGCCGCGGUAAUACGUAGGGUGCGAGCGUUGUCCGGAAUUACUGGGCGUAAAGAGCUCGUAGGUGGUUUGUCGCGUUGUUCGUGAAAUCUCACGGCUUAACUGUGAGCGUGCGGGCGAUACGGGCAGACUAGAGUACUGCAGGGGAGACUGGAAUUCCUGGUGUAGCGGUGGAAUGCGCAGAUAUCAGGAGGAACACCGGUGGCGAAGGCGGGUCUCUGGGCAGUAACUGACGCUGAGGAGCGAAAGCGUGGGGAGCGAACAGGAUUAGAUACCCUGGUAGUCCACGCCGUAAACGGUGGGUACUAGGUGUGGGUUUCCUUCCUUGGGAUCCGUGCCGUAGCUAACGCAUUAAGUACCCCGCCUGGGGAGUACGGCCGCAAGGCUAAAACUCAAAGGAAUUGACGGGGGCCCGCACAAGCGGCGGAGCAUGUGGAUUAAUUCGAUGCAACGCGAAGAACCUUACCUGGGUUUGACAUGCACAGGACGCGUCUAGAGAUAGGCGUUCCCUUGUGGCCUGUGUGCAGGUGGUGCAUGGCUGUCGUCAGCUCGUGUCGUGAGAUGUUGGGUUAAGUCCCGCAACGAGCGCAACCCUUGUCUCAUGUUGCCAGCGGGUAAUGCCGGGGACUCGUGAGAGACUGCCGGGGUCAACUCGGAGGAAGGUGGGGAUGACGUCAAGUCAUCAUGCCCCUUAAUGUCCAGGGCUUCACACAUGCUACAAUGGCCGGGUACAAAGGGCUGCGAUGCCGCGAGGUUAAGCGAAUCCUUUUAAAGCCGGUCUCAGUUCGGAUCGGGGUCUGCAACUCGACCCCGUGAAGUCGGAGUCGCUAGUAAUCGCAGAUCAGCAACGCUGCGGUGAAUACGUUCCCGGGCCUUGUACACACCGCCCGUCACGUCAUGAAAGUCGGUAACACCCGAAGCCA
This 1351-nucleotide ribosomal RNA is filed under the name Mycobacterium sp. DWMJ-1247A2. Its description in RNAcentral is "bacterial SSU rRNA". It matches the Rfam family "Bacterial small subunit ribosomal RNA", at positions 78 to 1429 of the family's 1533-position model. The record is from RNAcentral. Lineage: Bacteria; Bacillati; Actinomycetota; Actinomycetes; Mycobacteriales; Mycobacteriaceae.